RNAcentral lists this ribosomal RNA (499 nucleotides) under uncultured Actinomycetes bacterium. Its description in RNAcentral is "uncultured actinobacterium partial 16S ribosomal RNA". Lineage: Bacteria; Bacillati; Actinomycetota; Actinomycetes. The record is from RNAcentral.
GUACCGCGGCUGCUGGCACGUAGUUAGCCGGUGCUUCUUAUCUAGGUACCGUCACAAAAGCUUCGUCCCUAGCGAAAGAGGUUUACAACCCGAAGGCCGUCAUCCCCCACGCGGCGUCGCUGCAUCAGGCUUCCGCCCAUUGUGCAAUAUUCCCCACUGCUGCCUCCCGUAGGAGUCUGGGCCGUAUCUCAGUCCCAAUGUGGCCGUCCACCCUCUCAGGCCGGCUACCCGUCGACGCCUUGGUAGGCCAUUACCCCACCAACAAGCUGAUAGGCCGCGGGCUCAUCCCACACCGAAAAAACUUUCCACCCCCCACACUAAAGAGGGGUCCUAUCCGGUAUUAGACCCAGUUUCCCAGGCUUAUCCCGAAGUGCAGGGCAGAUCACCCACGUGUUACUCACCCGUUCGCCACUCGAGUACCCCGCAAGCGGGGCCUUUCCGUUCGACUUGCAUGUGUUAAGCACGCCGCCAGCGUUCGUCCUGAGCCAUGAUCAAACUC